AACAAUGCAUCAUAAAACCUCCAGAAGGAAAGGAGAAUGUUUUGUGGGUCAUUUACUUGUGUGCGUGUGGCAGUUUUAAGUUAUUAGUUUUUAAAAUCAGUACUUUUUAGUGGAAGCAACUUGACCAAAAAUCUGUCACAGAAUUUUGAGAGCCAUGAAAACAAAAGUUUAAUGAGAAAAAA
Hyaena hyaena (striped hyena) is the source of this 182-nucleotide long non-coding RNA. RefSeq lists it as uncharacterized. The record is from RefSeq and is a predicted model, not a curated record. The transcript has 2 exons. Lineage: Eukaryota; Metazoa; Chordata; Mammalia; Carnivora; Hyaenidae.